CCUACGGGAGGCAGCAGUGGGGAAUAUUGGACAAUGGGGGCAACCCUGAUCCAGCCAUGCCGCGUGUGUGAAGAAGGCCCUCGGGUUGUAAAGCACUUUCAGUGAGGAAGAACGCCUGGUGGUUAAUACCCAUCAGGAAAGACAUCACUCACAGAAGAAGCACCGGCUAACUCCGUGCCAGCAGCCGCGGUAAUACGGAGGGUGCGAGCGUUAAUCGGAAUUACUGGGCGUAAAGCGCGCGUAGGUGGCUUGAUAAGCCGGUUGUGAAAACCCCGGGCUCAACCUGGGAACGGCAUCCGGAACUGUCAAGCUAGAGUGCAGGAGAGGAAGGUAGAAUUCCCGGUGUAGCGGUGAAAUGCGUAGAGAUCGGGAGGAAUACCAGUGGCGAAGGCGGCCUUCUGGACUGACACUGACACUGAGGUGCGAAAGCGUGGGUAGCAAACAGGAUUAGAUACCCUUGUAGUC
Molecule: ribosomal RNA, 465 nt
Filed under: Vreelandella stevensii
Lineage: Bacteria; Pseudomonadati; Pseudomonadota; Gammaproteobacteria; Oceanospirillales; Halomonadaceae
Description: partial 16S ribosomal RNA
Rfam family: Bacterial small subunit ribosomal RNA
Source: RNAcentral